GCCAAGAUUUUAUCAUGAUCUUGCCAAGAUUUUAUCAUGAUCCUGCCAAGAUUUUACCAUUAUCGUACCACGAUUUCAACUUGAUCUUGCCAAGAUUUCACUUUUAUGUAGCCAAUAUUUUAUUACCAUGAUUUUACAAGAUUCAUGGGACGAUCAACUGCAACUUGCCAAGAUUCUGCUAUGAUUUUGUCAAGAUUGUACUGUGAUCUUGCCAAGAUUUUACUGAGAUCAUGUCAAGAUUUUACUGAUAACUUGCAAAGAUUUUACUGAGAUCUUGCCACGAUUUCUUUGUGAUCUUCGCAAGAUUUCGCUGUGACCUUGUCAAGAUUGUACUGUGAUCUUGCCAAGAUUUUACUGAGAUGUUGCCAAGAUUUUACCGAGAUCAUGUCAAGAUGUUACUAAUAACUCGCCAAGAUUUAUUUCAGAUCGUGCAAGAUUUCACAGUGAUUUUCGUAAGAUUUCGUUGUGAUUUUGUCAAUGUAAUUUGCCCAGCUAGGUUUUACAGUGAUUUUUCCAAGAUUCCACAAUAAUUUCGCCAAGACUUUACCAUGAUUAUGAGUCCACAAAGAACACAUACUUCACAUACGGGACAAAUUAUUGUAAACUCUUGAAAUAUUUACAAACAUGCUCGUGCUUGCAACUAUGAACAGUUAAUGUUAAUAACAGGUGUAAUAUAGGCAUUCACAAAUUCUUCGUUCAUUUCAAAAACUGCUGUAUGUUUCCGAGAGAUGCCCACGUUUUCACGUUUUUUUACAUGACUUGAUAGACCCAUCUGGAAACAAAACUGAGAGAAAGCGAAGCCUCAGUCCACAAGAUGUUCAUCCUUAUCAAGACUCCGACUCCGAAGCGAGCGAUUUCUGAGGUGAAGAUAAGGACAAAAAAUCCAAAGUCGCAUUUGGAUUUCGACUUCGACGAUGAUGCCCUGAGCAAAGAAUACGAAAAAUUAAACCGUCUGUCCGAGAUGCUAACGAAGAGUGAAUAUCAGUUAAAAUCGAAUGAUAAAGCAACAAAUGAGCGCUUGGAUUGACUGGAAAACGAUGUGAAGAAAAUCUCCAAGGCAAUUGAUAAUUUGAAAGAUGCAGUAAAAAAGUUAACUGCUGUAAAAACCACUUUAGUUUUACAGGAUGACAAAUUGCCUAAGAAGUCAUUAAUAAGUCCAACUACAGCUAAAAAGGAGACUGAAAACGCAGCAAUGUGGCAGAAUGAGGUUAAUUUAAUGAAUAUGAAAGCUCAACCAAAAGAGCCAGCAAAUGUGCAAUUAAUUUGCUUAACCACUUGUGUAGUCAAAGCGAACUCCAGGACAGGAUUUUGUUAAAUCGAAAAAAUCAACGAAAACACCCCUAGAUGCCGAGGGGUCACUAAACUGUUUGCAGUUAUUGCCACUUAAAACACAAAAAAAGCCGCGCAAAAGGGAUUGGUACAAAAUCAUUGAUGUGACGUCACAAUAGCAACUGGUUUGACUCAUUCAUAUUACAAAAAGAAGAAAGAUGGCGGCGCAAAAAAUGCACGGAAAUAUAAAUAUGCCCAAUAGAUGGAUUGUUGGGGGUUGCUCUAAUACCUCUAAUCCGGAAAAGGAAUUUUUCUUCAUUUUAUACCGUUUCCUGGUGACGAAAGGCCAGAACCAAAAAAAAAGACGAAAGCAGAGGAUUGAUUUCGUGCUGUUGAAGAGGGAAAAUUGUAUGUGACUCCAAAUUUUACAAGAAAGAUUUCACACAAAUGUUUUCUGGUUUCUCUGGUGAGGUAUAGCGGUUAGCCACCGAUGAAAAUGGCGUUGUGCAUGGCAGCCCCUAAGUGUCACGAAGUAACAACGGAAGUCAAACCUUCGUCUGCAAGAGCUAGGAGAAUGAUAAGUUCACAAACAACGUUUCGACUGGGACAGACGGUUGUGUUGGUUGUGUCGGUUGUGCGUAUUUACUAAAAGAAAAACGGAAGACUGGGAACAAGUAUAUAGCGCUUAAAAGCAAAUACGAUGAAUUGGUGUUAAAGUUAAACAUUCCAAAGAUCUCUAUGCAAUAUUCCUUCUCCGUGAAGAAAUGCAAGUCCAGCAAAGAUAUCUUUGAUCAUUUUUCGCCCAUGCCUUUGCAAAUGAUCAGUGGAAAGAGAACAAACGUACUUAUCCAGUGUCUUUUCACAGAGAUCAAGAAUGAGCUGUGUCUUCACAGGCUUGUAUCAACAUUCGCUUUAUAGCUACUUCACUGCCGUCUUGCAAAAUCCCGACAUAGACAAACGUCCCCGAAGAG
Molecule: RNA transcript, 2240 nt
Organism: Dendronephthya gigantea
Lineage: Eukaryota; Metazoa; Cnidaria; Anthozoa; Malacalcyonacea; Nephtheidae
Exons: 8
Source: RefSeq, a predicted model, not a curated record